RNAcentral lists this ribosomal RNA (441 nucleotides) under uncultured bacterium. Its description in RNAcentral is "SSU rRNA". It matches the Rfam family "Bacterial small subunit ribosomal RNA", at positions 26 to 518 of the family's 1533-position model. The record is from RNAcentral.
AGAGCGAACGCUGGCGGCAGGCCUAACACAUGCAAGUCGAGCGCCCCGCAAGGGGAGCGGCAGACGGGAGAGUAACACGUGGGAACGUACCCUUUGGUUCGGAACAACACAGGGAAACUUGUGCUAAUACCGGAUAAGCCCUUACGGGGAAAGAUUUAUUGCCAAAGGAUCGGCCCGCGUCUGAUUAGCUUGUUGGUGAGGUAACGGCUCACCAAGGCUACGAUCAGUAGCUGGUCUGAGAGGAUGAUCAGCCUCACUGGGACUGAGACACGGCCCAGACUCCUACGGGAGGCAGCAGUGGGGAAUAUUGGACAAUGGGCGCAAGCCUGAUCCAGCCAUGCCGCGUGGAUGAUGAAGGCCCUAGGGUUGUAAAGUCCUUUCGACGGGGAAGAUAAUGACGGUACCGUAGAAGAGCCCCGGCUAACUCGUGCCAGCAGCCGC